CCUACGGGAGGCAGCAGUAGGGAAUCUUCCGCAAUGGACGAAAGUCUGACGGAGCAACGCCGCGUGAGUGAAGAAGGUUUUCGGAUCGUAAAACUCUGUUGUCAGGGAAGAACAAGUAUGGGAGUAACUGCCCGUACCUUGACGGUACCUGGCCAGAAAGCCACGGCUAACUACGUGCCAGCAGCCGCGGUAAUACGUAGGUGGCAAGCGUUGUCCGGAAUUAUUGGGCGUAAAGCGCGCGCAGGCGGCCUUUUAAGUCUGAUGUGAAAGCCCCCGGCUCAACCGGGGAGGGUCAUUGGAAACUGGAAGACUUGAGUGCAGAAGAGAAGAGCGGAAUUCCACGUGUAGCGGUGAAAUGCGUAGAGAUGUGGAGGAACACCAGUGGCGAAGGCGGCUCUUUGGUCUGUAACUGACGCUGAGGCGCGAAAGCGUGGGGAGCAAACAGGAUUAGAUACCCUGGUAGUCCACGCCGUAAACGAUGAGUGCUAAGUGUUGGGGGGUUUCCGCCCCGUUCNGUGCUGCAGCUACGCAUUAAGACACUCCGCCGUCGGGGUAGGUACGGCCGGCCGACGGCGUCGAACGUACGAAAGAAGUAGUACGGACGUGAGACGACGACGACGACGACGACGAGGAGGAGGAGG
This 641-nucleotide ribosomal RNA is filed under the name uncultured bacterium. RNAcentral's name for it is "bacterial SSU rRNA". The stretch from base 1 to 546 matches the Rfam family "Bacterial small subunit ribosomal RNA", at positions 338 to 873 of the family's 1533-position model. The record is from RNAcentral.